This 498-nucleotide ribosomal RNA is filed under the name uncultured bacterium. RNAcentral describes it as "partial 16S ribosomal RNA". It matches the Rfam family "Bacterial small subunit ribosomal RNA", at positions 28 to 507 of the family's 1533-position model. The record is from RNAcentral.
GACGAACGCUGGCGGCGUGCCUAAUACAUGCGAGUCGAGCGGACGGAUGGGAGCUUGCUCCCAGACCGUCAGCGGCGGACGGGUGAGUAACACGUGGGCAACCUGCCUGUAAGACUGGGAUAACUCCGGGAAACCGGGGCUAAUACCGGAUAACUCUUUCCCUCACAUGAGGGAAAGCUGAAAGAUGGCAUCUCGCUAUCACUUACAGAUGGGCCCGCGGCGCAUUAGCUAGUUGGUGAGGUAACGGCUCACCAAGGCGACGAUGCGUAGCCGACCUGAGAGGGUGAUCGGCCACACUGGGACUGAGACACGGCCCAGACUCCUACGGGAGGCAGCAGUAGGGAAUCUUCCGCAAUGGACGAAAGUUUGACGGAGCAACGCCGCGUGAGUGAUGAAGGUUUUCGGAUCGUAAAACUCUGUUGUCAGGGAAGAACAAGUACCGGAGUAACUGCCGGUACCUUGACGGUACCUGACCAGAAAGCCACGGCUAACUACGUG